GUGGGGAAUUUUGGACAAUGGGCGAAAGCCUGAUCCAGCAAUGCCGCGUGUGUGAAGAAGGCCUUCGGGUUGUAAAGCACUUUUGUCCGGAAAGAAAUCUGUCUGGCUAAUACCUAGAUGGGAUGACGGUACCGGAAGAAUAAGCACCGGCUAACUACGUGCCAGCAGCCGCGGUAAUACGUAGGGUGCGAGCGUUAAUCGGAAUUACUGGGCGUAAAGCGUGCGCAGGCGGUUUUGUAAGACCGAUGUGAAAUCCCCGGGCUUAACCUGGGAACUGCAUUGGGGACUGCAAGGCUAGAGUGCGUCAGAGGGGGGUGGAAUUCCGCGUGUAGCAGUGAAAUGCGUAGAUAUGCGGAGGAACACCGAUGGCGAAGGCAAUCCCCUGGGCCUGCACUGACGCUCAUGCACGAAAGCGUGGGGAGCAAACAGGAUUAGAAACCCUGGUAGUCC
This 450-nucleotide ribosomal RNA is filed under the name uncultured bacterium. RNAcentral's name for it is "partial 16S ribosomal RNA". It matches the Rfam family "Bacterial small subunit ribosomal RNA", at positions 354 to 796 of the family's 1533-position model. The record is from RNAcentral.